Molecule: long non-coding RNA, 289 nt
Filed under: Gallus gallus (chicken)
Lineage: Eukaryota; Metazoa; Chordata; Aves; Galliformes; Phasianidae
Description: long non-coding RNA NONGGAT007957
Source: RNAcentral
AAAUAAAUCGUGAUGCUGUGAAGGGAGAUCUUCAGACAGUGGUAGGAAAAAGCAAGUGGUAGAAAUACAGUUUCUUGCACCGUCUUCUGCAUCACUGCUGAAAAAAAUGUGGUUCUGCCUGUGGCCCUCAAAGGAAGGAAGUUGCCAGCACAACGUGUGUGUGCAUCCAGAAAUCUCAAAAUCGGCGAAAGCUAACAUGCCCAAUGUCUGCUAAAUGGACACAGGGAGAUGCUUGGCUGGUUCCUGACUUGAAGGAUAAAUACACGCUGAGAUGAAACUGACUUCCCGG